This is a long non-coding RNA of Pan troglodytes (chimpanzee), 1321 nucleotides long. RefSeq lists it as uncharacterized. The record is from RefSeq and is a predicted model, not a curated record. The transcript is spliced from 3 exons. NCBI's taxonomy places the organism in Eukaryota, Metazoa, Chordata, Mammalia, Primates, Hominidae.
UACUACAACGCAGACAGGAAUAGACAACUGCCUCACCCUGCUCUGGGCCUCCCCUGAGCUAGACCCUGUGAGAUUCUGGGACAUUGCAAGUCAAUCUGCUUUUACCAGGCCCCUUCGUGAUCUCAUUCCUCAGGGAGCAGUUCUCACUUCCCCUAUCCCAGAGGACAGAGGGACUCGGCAGUGAAAGAGGGAACCAACUGUCCAAACGCAUGACUAGAACAAAGCCUCCAGAAGACAGACAAGGCCCCAUUUCCAAAUAUCAUCACAAUGAAGAUUAGGGCUUCAACAUACGAAUUUUAGAGGACACAAUUCAGUCCAUAGCAACGAUGCAUAGAAGACAAGGCAAUAUGAAGUGAGAACAGAGGUAUUUGAAGCUGUCAGCCUUCAAGACUGGAGUGAUGCAGUGACAAGCCGAGGCCACCAGAAACUGGAAGAAGCAAGGAAGGAUCCUCUCCUGGCCUUCAGAACUUUGACAGAAUAAAGUUUUUUUUUUUUUUAAGCUGCCAUGUUUGUGGUAAUAUGCUACAAAAUCCACAGGAAACUAACAGGAAUCAUAGUGAUUCCAAAGAGCAGUUGAGAAGAUCUAGUUGAACUCUCAUCUUUUGUUCUCCAUUCUGCUCCCACCCAUUCCCCAACUGGAACCUUUGAAAUGGGAAUCAGAUCAUGCCACCUUCUGCUAAAACCUUCUGUUAGCUCCUCAUUACAGUUAAAGAAAUGUUUUUGGCUGGGUAGCCAAAAGCCACAUACGGUAUUGCCCUCUGUAGCAGCUGUGUUAAUAACAGCCUGAGCAGGAGGGAGAAUGCAGUCAAGAGAACAUGUAAUCAAACUGAAGGACAUUCAUACAAUUGACCCUACACAACAAGGGCCGGGGAGGAACUAAGGUCAUAUAUGGCCAUACAAAUGUGCACUGAGAAGCCAGACAGAGAAGUAAAGCCCCAGGUGUUUUAUGGGUAGGCAAAGCUUGUCUGUGAAGUUAGGGCGUCAGCUACAAGGGACAUGGGCUUCUGAGAGCCAGAGAUGUUCUGUUCUUUGCUAUCACAGCUGGUUAGCUGAGGUGCUCCCUGCCUGCAUCUCUACAUAUCAUAAGCCUCCACCAAAAAGUUAAAAAGUCCAUAGAGACAGAAAGUAGAUUAGUGAUUGUCAGGGGCUGGUUGGAGGGGGACUGUGGAGUGAGUGUUAAUGGUUACAGGGAUUCCUUUUGGAGUAAUGAAAAUGACUUGGAAAUAGAUAGAGGUGGUGGUUGCACAACAUUGUGAAUGCAUGAAAUGCCACUGAAUGUACACUUUUAAACUGGCUAAAAUGAUAAAUUUGAUAUUAUGUG